GACGAACGCUGGCGGCGUGCUUAACACAUGCAAGUCGAACGGAAAGGCCCUGCUUUUGUGGGGUGCUCGAGUGGCGAACGGGUGAGUAACACGUGAGUAACCUGCCCUUGACUUUGGGAUAACUUCAGGAAACUGGGGCUAAUACCGGAUAGGAGCUCCUGCUGCAUGGUGGGGGUUGGAAAGUUUCGGCGGUUGGGGAUGGAUUCGCGGCUUAUGAGCUUGUUGGUGGGGUAGUGGCUUACCAAGGCUUUGACGGGUAGCCGGCCUGAGAGGGUGACCGGCGACAUUGGGCCUAAGGUACGGACCAGACUCCUACGGGAGGCAGCAGUGGGGAAUAUUGCACAAUGGGCGGACGCCAGAUGCAGCAACGCCGCGUGCGGGAUGACGGCCUUCGGGGUGUAAACCGCUUUCGCCUGUGACGAAGCGUGCGUGACGGUAAUGGGUAAAGAAGCACCGGCUAACUACGUG
This 468-nucleotide ribosomal RNA is filed under the name uncultured bacterium. RNAcentral's name for it is "partial 16S ribosomal RNA". It matches the Rfam family "Bacterial small subunit ribosomal RNA", at positions 28 to 507 of the family's 1533-position model. The record is from RNAcentral.